Molecule: ribosomal RNA, 476 nt
Filed under: uncultured bacterium
Lineage: Bacteria
Description: bacterial SSU rRNA
Rfam family: Bacterial small subunit ribosomal RNA
Source: RNAcentral
CCCUUAGAGUUUGAUCCUGGCUCAAAUUGAACGCUGGCGGCAGGCCUAACACAUGCAAGUCGAACGGUAACAGGAAGAAGCUUGCUUCUUUGCUGACGAGUGGCGGACGGGUGAAUAAUGUCUGGGAAACUGCCUGAUGGAGGGGGAUAACUACUGGAAACGGUAGCUAAUACCGCAUAACGUCGCAAGACCAAAAAGGGGGACCUUCGGGCCUCUUGCCAUCGGAUGUGCCCAGAUGGGAUUAGCUAGUAGGUGGGGUAACGGCUCACCUAGGCGACGAUCCCUAGCUGGUCUGAGAGGAUGACCAGCCACACUGGAACUGAGACACGGUCCAGACUCCUACGGGAGGCAGCAGUGGGGAAUAUUGGACAAUGGGCGCAAGCCUGAUGCAACCAUGCCGCGUGUAUGAAGAAGGCCUUCGGGUUGUAAAGUACUUUCAGCGGGGAGGAAGGGAGUAAAGUUAAUACCUUUGCUCA